GAUAGCUUGACUCUUCCCUCCUCUUCACAUAAAUACCAACUCGGAGCAAACAAGUAUCACAGCCUCACCUAGGAGCCUCAUGAGGACAUCAGAGGCAGUGCACUCAUAACUGUUACCUGAGGACAAAACUACAAACACAAGGUCUUCCUUCCAAGGAAUAAUUACUACUUUCUCUCUCUUGCACGAAAGACAAGAUCUACAGUCUACUAUAGGCAUGGACAACAGACUAGUCUUCACUGUCCUGGUUGUGAUGAUGUCCUUGAACUUUAUGGGCCCCUAUGCUCAAAGCUCCACAACCACAACUGCAGCAACCACAACGACACCAACCCCCACCACUGCGGCAACCACGAAACCAUCCACCACAACUGCGGCAACCACAACGACAACAACCGCAACCGCAACUACAG
Molecule: long non-coding RNA, 407 nt
Organism: Amphiprion ocellaris (clown anemonefish)
Lineage: Eukaryota; Metazoa; Chordata; Actinopteri; Pomacentridae
Source: Ensembl